This 492-nucleotide ribosomal RNA is filed under the name uncultured bacterium. RNAcentral's name for it is "partial 16S ribosomal RNA". It matches the Rfam family "Bacterial small subunit ribosomal RNA", at positions 29 to 507 of the family's 1533-position model. The record is from RNAcentral.
AGUGAACGCUGGCGGUAGGCCUAACACAUGCAAGUCGAACGGCAGCACAGUAAGAGCUUGCUCUUACGGGUGGCGAGUGGCGGACGGGUGAGGAAUACAUCGGAAUCUACUUUUUCGUGGGGGAUAACGUAGGGAAACUUACGCUAAUACCACAUACGACCUACGGGUGAAAGCAGGGGAUCUUCGGACCUUGCGCGAUUGAAUGAGCCGAUGUCGGAUUAGCUAGUUGGCGGGGUAAAGGCCCACCAAGGCGACGAUCCGUAGCUGGUCUGAGAGGAUGAUCAGCCACACUGGAACUGAGACACGGUCCAGACUCCUACGGGAGGCAGCAGUGGGGAAUAUUGGACAAUGGGCGCAAGCCUGAUCCAGCCAUACCGCGUGGGUGAAGAAGGCCUUCGGGUUGUAAAGCCCUUUUGUUGGGAAAGAAAAGCAGCGGGUUAAUACCCCGCUGUUCUGACGGUACCCAAAGAAUAAGCACCGGCUAACUUCGUG